UCCCUGGAGGACUAGUGGUUAUGCCACAUCGCUCUCACGACUGCAGCUUGGGUUCAAUUCCUGGCCAGGGAA
Molecule: transfer RNA, 72 nt
Filed under: Pangasianodon gigas (Mekong giant catfish)
Lineage: Eukaryota; Metazoa; Chordata; Actinopteri; Siluriformes; Pangasiidae
Description: tRNA-Glu
Source: RNAcentral